This 109-nucleotide small RNA is filed under the name Sinorhizobium meliloti 2011. RNAcentral describes it as "putative ncRNA". Lineage: Bacteria; Pseudomonadati; Pseudomonadota; Alphaproteobacteria; Hyphomicrobiales; Rhizobiaceae. The record is from RNAcentral.
CUAUGGAGCUCAAAAGUGGAAUCAAAAAGUUACCUGAAAGGCAGUUCGGAUCUCGGUACCCGCUUGAAGAUCUGAACCGGAUAAAGCAGACCUGCGACGCUUUCCACCA